RNAcentral lists this ribosomal RNA (253 nucleotides) under uncultured bacterium. RNAcentral's name for it is "partial 16S ribosomal RNA". It matches the Rfam family "Bacterial small subunit ribosomal RNA", at positions 524 to 776 of the family's 1533-position model. The record is from RNAcentral.
UACGGGGGGGGCAAGCGUUGUUCGGAAUUACUGGGCGUAAAGGGCUCGUAGGCGGCCAACUAAGUCAGACGUGAAAUCCCACAGCUUAACUGUGGAACUGCUUGGUAUACUGCCAGUCUUGAGCCAGCUAGGGGCUACCGGAACAAAUGGUGGAGCGGUGAAAUGCGUAGAUAUCAUUUGGAACGCCAAUGGUGAAAACAGGUAGCUGGGGCUGUGCUGACACUGAGACACGAAAGCCAGGGGAGCAAACGGG